Molecule: ribosomal RNA, 301 nt
Filed under: uncultured bacterium
Lineage: Bacteria
Description: partial 16S ribosomal RNA
Rfam family: Bacterial small subunit ribosomal RNA
Source: RNAcentral
CAGUAGCCGCGGUAAUACGUAGGGUGCAAGCGUUAAUCGGAAUUACUGGGCGUAAAGCGUGCGCAGGCGGUGUUGUAAGACUGAUGUGAAAUCCCGGGCUCAACCUGGGAACUGCAUUGGUGACUGCAACGCUGGAGUGCGGCAGAGGGGGAUGGAAUUCCGCGUGUAGCAGUGAAAUGCGUAGAUAUGCGGAGGAACACCGAUGGCGAAGGCAAUCCCCUGGGCCUGCACUGACGCUCAUGCACGAAAGCGUGGGGAGCAAACAGGAUUAGAUACCCCCGUAGUCCCUGUCUCUUAUACA